CCGGACACUCAGAAAGUGUCUGACAACCAUUUGAGUGAGAAUAGAGAUGAUGCAAUUGGCACAGAUGAUUUUAGAUCUGGUGUCUUCAUGAAGAAAGAAAGGCUUGUGUUGGGACAUUUCUUGAGUUUCCUUAAGAAACUCAUCAUGUUGGGUAACAUGAAAGGCAGUGGCAUUUCAAGAAGCCAGAGCUGAAGGGUUAGCAGGCAGGAAACAGACAGUUGCAUUGGCAUCCCAGAAAAUUCUGAAAGAUUUCCGGGUUCAAAUGCAGUUACCGCAACCUGUAUCAACAACCUACCAGAGGGUAUGUGUAUCACACAGGAAGUUGAGUACAUAACAACACAAUUUGAAAUAAGGUUCUGGAGGAGUUUAGAUAUCCUGCUGAGAGAAGUGGCUCAAAGUAAAUUCAUUCUGGUUGUUCUGUUGCAAUCAAAUAAUAUGGUAGAAAAGUUGGUCUUGUCGCUAGAGUCUACCAUAAGUGAAAAGUUAAAUUGCAAGAGCACCCAUUCCAAUUCUCUUGUUAUAUACACUAACAG
Alnus glutinosa is the source of this 533-nucleotide long non-coding RNA. RefSeq lists it as uncharacterized. The transcript is spliced from 3 exons. The record is from RefSeq and is a predicted model, not a curated record. NCBI's taxonomy places the organism in Eukaryota, Viridiplantae, Streptophyta, Magnoliopsida, Fagales, Betulaceae.